AUACUGACCUGGCCGAGGAGAUAUCAUGAUCAUGAAGGUGGUUUUCCCAUGACGAGGCUUAUCCACUGCGCUCUGGAUAUGCUGAUCCCUGUGAUUUCCCCAAAUGUCGGAAACUCAACUGUGUAACUUGUGGUAGUAGGGGACUGUGCUUGCAUGCUCCCCUG
This is a small nuclear RNA of Pteronotus mesoamericanus, 164 nucleotides long. RefSeq annotates it as U1 spliceosomal RNA. NCBI's taxonomy places the organism in Eukaryota, Metazoa, Chordata, Mammalia, Chiroptera, Mormoopidae. The record is from RefSeq and is a predicted model, not a curated record. The transcript has a single exon.